CCUACGGUGGGCAGCAGUGGGGAAUAUUGGGCAAUGGAGGCAACUCUGACCCAGCAACGCCGCGUGAAUGAUGAAGGUCUUCGGAUUGUAAAGUUCUUUUCUAAGGGAAGAAGAAAGUGACGGUACCUUAGGAAUAAGCCUCGGCUAACUACGUGCCAGCAGCCGCGGUAAUACGUAGGAGGCAAGCGUUAUCCGGAAUGACUGGGCGGAAAGGGUGCGUAGGUGGUUUGACAAGUUAGUAGCUCAACUCCGUAUAUCAACUUCGGAACUACUACUAAAACUGUUGGACUUGAGUGCAGGAGGGGCAAUCGGAAGUCCGAGGGUAGCGGUGGAAUGCGUAGAUAGUAGGAGGAACACCAGUGGCGAAGGCGGCUCACUGGACUGUAACUGACGUUGAGGCUCGAAAGCGUGGGGAGCAAACAGGAUUAGAUACCCGAGUAGUC
This 443-nucleotide ribosomal RNA is filed under the name uncultured bacterium. RNAcentral describes it as "partial 16S ribosomal RNA". It matches the Rfam family "Bacterial small subunit ribosomal RNA", at positions 338 to 795 of the family's 1533-position model. The record is from RNAcentral.